UACGUAGGGUGCAAGCGUUAAUCGGAAUUACUGGGCGUAAAGCGUGCGCAGGCGGUGAUGUAAGACAGAUGUGAAAUCCCCGGGCUCAACCUGGGAACUGCAUUUGUGACUGCAUCGCUGGAGUACGGCAGAGGGGGAUGGAAUUCCGCGUGUAGCAGUGAAAUGCGUAGAGAUGCGGAGGAACACCGAUGGCGAAGGCAGCCCCCUGGGCUAGCACUGACGCUCAGGCACGAAAGCGUGGGGAGCAAACAGG
RNAcentral lists this ribosomal RNA (253 nucleotides) under uncultured bacterium. Its description in RNAcentral is "partial 16S ribosomal RNA". It matches the Rfam family "Bacterial small subunit ribosomal RNA", at positions 524 to 776 of the family's 1533-position model. The record is from RNAcentral.